UUUGACACCAUUUCCAGACCACACCCCGUUCUGUUCCAUGUGGAUAUGAGGGAAGAUAUUUGAGAGGCUGGAAGAAGAACAGAGAGCAGAACCAGCAAACUCACAGCUCUCUCUCUCUCUCUCUCUCUCUCUCUCUCUCUCUCUCUGAAACCAAUCCCAAUGUUGCAGUCUCAACAAUUUCUCUCUCGCAGCUUCCCCUUCUUUCUGUCUCAUCCCCACAACCCCUCUCUCUCUCCUCACUCUCUCAACUUUCUCUACAGACACAACAGUAUUACACUGCCCCCCAAUUCUGUCCAAAUUCGGACCGGUAACGAACCAAUGCUCGCCCAAACCUCCGAGCCCGCCGCUGACGGACCGGAGGACGGACCCAUCGAGAUCCCGCCGUCGGUUCCCUCCAUCUUCGCCGACUCCGACAACCCUUCGCCUCUGCAAGUCUCCACCAGCUUGCUCCUCACCGGCGCCAUCUCCGUCUUCCUCUUUCGCUCGCUCCGUCGCCGCGCAAAGCGCGCCAAAGAACUGAAAUUUAGGUCUUCUGGGGCGAAGAAAUCGUUGAAGGAGGAGGCGAUGGAGAGUCUAAAAGUGAUGACUCCGGCUCCGCCUAAAGGUAAGGGUCCUCCGUCGCCGGUUCAGGCGCUGCUAGGCGGGUUGUCGGCCGGUGUCAUUGCUCUGAUUCUAUACAAGUUCACUACCACCAUUGAAGCCUCUCUCAAUCGACAAACGCUUUCGGAUAAUUUCUCGGUUCGGCAAAUCACGAUAACAAUAAGGACAAUUGUGAAUGGUUUGUGCUACCUUGCAACAUUUGUUUUUGGCAUAAAUUCUGUAGGUUUAUUUUUGUACUCAGCUCAGCUUGCCCUCAACUCCUUCAUGGAUGAUUCUUCAAGUAAAAACACUGAGAAUAAUGGUGAAGCACAAUUAAGUUCAAAUCAAACAACCAAAGCCCCCACAGAAAGCUUUGAAACGGGCAGCAGUAAUGAGGAUCAAAAUUCAGGCGGUGUGCAAUGAUGGAGAAAUGAACAAAAUCAAAUUGAAGGAACAGGUUUCAAUUCCUUUGACCCAAUUGUAUGGAAUUGGGGUAAAGCUGGAAAAGAUGCCUGUCAGCAUUGUAUGAUCUGAAAGAUAAUGUUUGGCAUUAAAUGGAUGGGUUAAAAUUGGUGACUCCCCCACCAUGUGUUCACUAAAGCCGAAGAUACAGUUUCCUUUCCGUCUUGUUUUGAGUUCUCAAUCUCAGCAGCUUUGCACAACGCAUACCCCAGGGCCUGGACAAACAAGACUGGAAUCUCUGUAAAAGAUGAGGGAGAGAGAGAGAUCCCCCACUUUGUGCCAUGACACUCAUAAAGUUUCUAAAUAUAGAGGUGAGGUGACCCUUUUGAGCAUGACUUGAUGCCAUUGCCAGGGUUUCUAUGGAAGACAACACACUUGAUCAAAUUUGUAAUUGAAUUUGAAAGAAAAGCUUAACCUUGAGCUUUGUUUUGGAGGGAUUUUAUAAUGAAAUGGAAGAAAGUGGGUUAGUAAUAGCAAAUAA
Diospyros lotus (date-plum) is the source of this 1522-nucleotide RNA transcript. RefSeq lists it as uncharacterized. The record is from RefSeq and is a predicted model, not a curated record. The transcript has 5 exons. Lineage: Eukaryota; Viridiplantae; Streptophyta; Magnoliopsida; Ericales; Ebenaceae.